GAAUGAUCAGGGAAGACAUGACUGAAAUGAUGCUUUCUGGGUAAAGAUUGAAGGAUAUGAGGAGAGGGUCAUGUAGCUGUUUGAUCGAAGAGCAUUCUUGGCAGAGGAAAUGCCAGGCCAAAGUCUCUAUGGCAGGACUACACUAGGUGAGUUCAAGGAAGAGUGGGGAAGUCACUAGGUCUGAAGAGAAGUGAGUGUGCAAAGGUUAGAAGGUGGUUAGAAAGGGACCUGGGGACAGAUGGUGUAGGACAGGAGACCGUGAUACAAUUCAGCUUAGACUGAAUGGGUUGGGGCACUGCUGCAGCAUUUUGAUCAGCACAGUGAUGUGAUCCAUUUAGGAUCAUAUGGUGACUGGGUAAUUAUGACAUAGAAGGAGGGAUAUUCAUUAGGUUGUGAUUGCAAGUCUUCAGGGAAGACACGCCAGUGACUCAGAGGAGGAGAGAUAAAAUGUUCUACAGGAAUCAAAGCUUGUCAUUCACUCAGGCCCUCACUUGGUGGCAGUAUGUUAGAGAAGACUGCUUGUUCCAGAGCCUGGUUCUCAGCUUUGCAAUCUACAGAUGGUUCAUUCUAGCCACGUGUGCAAGGAUGUGAUAUACUAGAGUGCACAUUGAUUACUUGAACUUCCUUGAAAUAUCAUUUUCAAGACAAGACUACUAAGGACUAAUCUUCAUCAUCAUCAUCAUCAUUAACAUAAUCACAGCUGACAUUUACUGAACAUUAGCAAUGUGGUAAGCACUGCAGUAGGAGUUUUCACGUGUCUACUCAUGUAAUCCUCAAUGCAACCUUAAAGAAGACUACAAUGCCAGCAUCUGGGAUAACUACUAGAAUGUUCUCUGCCAUCCACUAAGCAUUGAAUCCCUCCAGACACUGUUACAACAGACAAAAACCUGUACUGGGCUA
RNAcentral lists this long non-coding RNA (900 nucleotides) under Homo sapiens (human). RNAcentral describes it as "HSALNT0304870". The record is from RNAcentral. Lineage: Eukaryota; Metazoa; Chordata; Mammalia; Primates; Hominidae.